Molecule: microRNA precursor, 107 nt
Filed under: Paramuricea clavata
Lineage: Eukaryota; Metazoa; Cnidaria; Anthozoa; Malacalcyonacea; Plexauridae
Source: RNAcentral
UAUAGAUCAAUGGCUGAGCGAGCGCGCGGGGGUGCUUGGGGAGUAAUCCCGUCGUGUCCUGACCUAGCACCCCCGCGCGCUCGCUCUCUUAGCCACUGAUCUAUAUA